GUCAUUUUAUAGACAGUAAACUUGUGUGUUGUGUAACCUCUCUACAGUGACAUAGCUGUUAAGAGCCUGUAUUGAACCUGGGCAGCUUAGCCCAGAGUUGGGUUGGGUUGGGUUUUUUUCGUUUUGUUUUGUUUUUUUGACAUAGUCUCUUUCUGUUGCCCAGGCUGGAGUGCAGUGGCAGGAUCUCGUCUCACUGCAGCCUCCGCCUCUCGGGUUCAAGCGAUUCUUCUGCCUCAGCCUCCUGAGCCCAGACUAUUAAGCUGUACUGCCUCUCAUGAGACAGAAUUGAUUUUAAAUGGCAGGGGGAUUUGGCUAAAGGAAAGAAAUGCUGAAAAUGCCAUCGAAGCCCUUAAGGAAUAUGAGCCUGAAAUGGGCAAAGUGUAUCGACAGGACAGAAAGAGUGUACAGCGGAUUAAAGCUAAAGACAUAGUUCCUGGUGAUAUUGUAGAAAUUGCUGUUGGUGACAAAGUUCCUGCUGAUAUAAGGUUAACUUCCAUCAAAUCUACCACACUAAGAGUUGACCAGUCAAUUCUCACAG
Molecule: small RNA, 538 nt
Filed under: Pan troglodytes (chimpanzee)
Lineage: Eukaryota; Metazoa; Chordata; Mammalia; Primates; Hominidae
Description: processed transcript
Source: RNAcentral